UGUAACAGCAACUCCAUGUGGACUACGCUGACUUCCAGUGGAGAUGCUGUUACUUU
RNAcentral lists this microRNA precursor (56 nucleotides) under Alligator mississippiensis (American alligator). RNAcentral's name for it is "Ami-Mir-194-P2_pre stem-loop". It matches the Rfam family "mir-194 microRNA precursor family", at positions 14 to 72 of the family's 82-position model. Rfam says of the family: The hairpin precursors (represented here) are predicted based on base pairing and cross-species conservation -- their extents are not known. The record is from RNAcentral. Lineage: Eukaryota; Metazoa; Chordata; Crocodylia; Alligatoridae.